GACGAACGCUGGCGGCGUGCCUAAUACAUGCAAGUAGAACGCACAGUUUAUACCGUAGCUUGCUACACCAUAGACUGUGAGUUGCGAACGGGUGAGUAACGCGUAGGUAACCUGCCUGGUAGCGGGGGAUAACUAUUGGAAACGAUAGCUAAUACCGCAUAAUAUUAAUUAUUGCAUGAUAAUUAAUUGAAAGGUGCAAUUGCACCACUACCAGAUGGACCUGCGUUGUAUUAGCUAGUAGGUGAGGUAACGGCUCACCUAGGCGACGAUACAUAGCCGACCUGAGAGGGUGAUCGGCCACACUGGGACUGAGACACGGCCCAGACUCCUACGGGAGGCAGCAGUAGGGAAUCUUCGGCAAUGGACGAAAGUCUGACCGAGCAACGCCGCGUGAGUGAAGAAGGGUGUCGGAUCGGAAAGCUCUGUUGUAAGAGAAGAACGGGUGUGAGAGUGGAAAGUUCACACUGUGACGGUAUCUUACCAGAAAGAGACGGCUAACUACGUG
This 505-nucleotide ribosomal RNA is filed under the name uncultured bacterium. RNAcentral's name for it is "partial 16S ribosomal RNA". It matches the Rfam family "Bacterial small subunit ribosomal RNA", at positions 28 to 507 of the family's 1533-position model. The record is from RNAcentral.